This 231-nucleotide long non-coding RNA is filed under the name Zostera marina. Its description in RNAcentral is "long non-coding RNA (ZMAR_LNC004558)". The record is from RNAcentral. Lineage: Eukaryota; Viridiplantae; Streptophyta; Magnoliopsida; Alismatales; Zosteraceae.
AUAAAAUCAUCAUUCAUUUUAGAAAUCAAAUAUGGCCAAAUCUAUUUUUUUGGUCCUUAGUUUGACAAUCAUGCUCUUUCUGAGCAUGACUUCCGCUGUUAGACUUUUAACUGGAGAAGGAUACGGUUCAGGCACCGGAUCAGGAUCUGGUGAUAAUGGUGGUGGAGGUGGUGGUGGAGGAGGUGGUGGAGGUGGAGGUGAUGGAAAAAAUGGAAGUGGUUCUGGAUCAGG